GGAUGUGUAUGCAAGCGGUCAAAGCAGCCUGGCUGUAAACCAGGUGGUUAAUCCUUCGGAGGUUCGAAUCCAUCCCGCAUCCACCA
This 86-nucleotide transfer RNA is filed under the name Crocinitomicaceae bacterium. RNAcentral describes it as "tRNA-Tyr". It matches the Rfam family "tRNA". Rfam says of the family: Transfer RNA (tRNA) molecules are approximately 80 nucleotides in length. Their secondary structure includes four short double-helical elements and three loops (D, anti-codon, and T loops). Further hydrogen bonds mediate the characteristic L-shaped molecular structure. tRNAs have two regions of fundamental functional importance: the anti-codon, which is responsible for specific mRNA codon recognition, and the 3' end, to which the tRNAs corresponding amino acid is attached (by aminoacyl-tRNA synthetases). tRNAs cope with the degeneracy of the genetic code in two manners: having more than one tRNA (with a specific anti-codon) for a particular amino acid; and 'wobble' base-pairing, i.e. permitting non-standard base-pairing at the 3rd anti-codon position. The record is from RNAcentral. Lineage: Bacteria; Pseudomonadati; Bacteroidota; Flavobacteriia; Flavobacteriales; Crocinitomicaceae.